UUAAAACUUACAUGAGAUAAGACCUGCCUG
This 30-nucleotide non-coding RNA is filed under the name Rattus norvegicus (Norway rat). The record is from RNAcentral. Lineage: Eukaryota; Metazoa; Chordata; Mammalia; Rodentia; Muridae.